UCGAGCGGCAGCGCGAGUAGUUACUACUUGGCGGCGAGCGGCGGACGGCUGAGUAACGCGUGGGAACGUACCCCAAAGUGAGGAAUAACCGCCCGAAAGGGUGGCUAAUGCCGCAUAUGAUCUUCGGAUUAAAGGAUUUAUCCGCUUUGGGAACGGCCUGCGUAUGAUUAGAUAGUUGGUGAGGUAAUGGCUCACCAAGUCAACGAUCAUUAACUGGUCUGAGAGGAUGAUCAGUCAGACUGGAACUGAGAUACGGUCCAGACUCCUACGGGAGGCAGCAGUGAGGAAUCUUCCACAAUGGGCGAAAGCCUGAUGGAGCAACGCCGCGUGCAGGAUGAAGGCCUUCGGGUCGUAAACUGCUUUUAUCUGUGAUGAAUAUGACAGUAACAGAAGAAUAAGCACCGGCUAACUACGUGCCAGCAGCCGCGGUCAUACGUAGGGUGCAAGCAUUAUCCGGAGUGACUGGGCGUAAAGAGUUGCGUAGGUGGUUUGUUAAGUGAAUAGUGAAAUCUGGUGGCUCAACCGCACAGACUAUUAUUCAAACUGGCAAACUCGAGAAUAGCAGAGGUAACUGGAAUUUCUAGUGUAGGAGUGAAAUCCGUAGAUAUUAGAAGGAACACCAAUGGCGUAGGCAGGUUACUGGGCUAUUUCUGACACUGAGGCACGAAAGCGUGGGGAGCGAACCGGAUUAGAUACCCGGGUAGUCCACGCUGUAAACUAUGGAUACUAGCUGUUGGAGGUAUCGACCCCUUCGGUAGCGAAGCUAACGCGUUAAGUAUCCCGCCUGUGGAGUACGGUCGCAAGACUAAAACAUAAAGGAAUUGACGGGGAC
This 832-nucleotide ribosomal RNA is filed under the name uncultured bacterium. Its description in RNAcentral is "bacterial SSU rRNA". It matches the Rfam family "Bacterial small subunit ribosomal RNA", at positions 62 to 920 of the family's 1533-position model. The record is from RNAcentral.